AUUAUUUUGGCAGAAUAAUGCGUUAGAUUUAGAAUCUAUUAAUUCUAAAAUUUCC
This 55-nucleotide transfer RNA is filed under the name Cyclosa argenteoalba. Its description in RNAcentral is "tRNA-Leu". The record is from RNAcentral. Lineage: Eukaryota; Metazoa; Arthropoda; Arachnida; Araneae; Araneidae.